CCUACGGGCGGCUGCAGUGGGGAAUAUUGGACAAUGGGCGAAAGCCUGAUCCAGCCAUGCCGCGUGUGUGAAGAAGGCCUUCGGGUUGUAAAGCACUUUCAGUGGGGAAGAAAGCCUUGGGGCUAAUACCCUCGAGGAAGGACAUCACCCACAGAAGAAGCACCGGCUAACUCCGUGCCAGCAGCCGCGGUAAUACGGAGGGUGCGAGCGUUAAUCGGAAUUACUGGGCGUAAAGCGCGCGUAGGCGGUCUGAUAAGCCGGUUGUGAAAGCCCCGGGCUCAACCUGGGAACGGCAUCCGGAACUGUCAGGCUAGAGUGCAGGAGAGGAAGGUAGAAUUCCCGGUGUAGCGGUGAAAUGCGUAGAGAUCGGGAGGAAUACCAGUGGCGAAGGCGGCCUUCUGGACUGACACUGACGCUGAGGUGCGAAAGCGUGGGUAGCAAACAGGAUUAGAUCCCCCGGGUAGUC
RNAcentral lists this ribosomal RNA (466 nucleotides) under Vreelandella stevensii. RNAcentral describes it as "partial 16S ribosomal RNA". It matches the Rfam family "Bacterial small subunit ribosomal RNA", at positions 338 to 795 of the family's 1533-position model. Lineage: Bacteria; Pseudomonadati; Pseudomonadota; Gammaproteobacteria; Oceanospirillales; Halomonadaceae. The record is from RNAcentral.